Molecule: ribosomal RNA, 396 nt
Filed under: uncultured bacterium
Lineage: Bacteria
Description: bacterial SSU rRNA
Rfam family: Bacterial small subunit ribosomal RNA
Source: RNAcentral
CGAAUAUUCCGCAAUGGGCGCAAGCCUGACGGAGCAAUGCCGCGUGCAGGAUGAAGCCCCUCGGGGUGUAAACUGCUGUCAGGGUUCAACAACACAAUGAGUAGACCCAGAGGAAGAGACGGCUAACUCUGUGCCAGCAGCCGCGGUAAUACAGAGGUCUCGAGCGUUACGCGGAGUCAUUGGGCUUAAAGGGUGCGUAGGCGGCGCUGCAAGUGCCUUGUGAAAUACCACGGCUUAACCGUUGAAUUGCUCGGUAGACUGCAGUGCUUGAGGUCGGUAGGGGCUGCCGGAACUCUAGGUGGAGCGGUGAAAUGCGUAGAUAUCUAGAGGAACGCCAAAGGUGAAGACAGGCAGCUGGGCCGAUUCUGACGCUGAGGCACGAAAGCGUGGGUAGCG